GUUAAAGUACAAAAGUAAGUAUAUUUUUAUCGUCUCCACAGGGACUGAUGCGAUAUCGAUGUCGUUCAACAAUUAAUAUUAUUUCAAGUAAAGGAUUUCAAAGAUGGUUGAUUACGAAAGUUGCGAAAACAUGAAAGUAGUCAAGAUAAUUAAUUUGACAGAUAGAUUAAAUUGCUGGGAUUAGCUUUCAAUCACUCAUUCAUACAUAUUCCCCAAAUCAGUUACACAAGUUCUAGUCAUCUAUUAAUAUUAUCACGUAUCGCUCGUCGAACGUUUCCG
Molecule: long non-coding RNA, 279 nt
Filed under: Trifolium pratense (red clover)
Lineage: Eukaryota; Viridiplantae; Streptophyta; Magnoliopsida; Fabales; Fabaceae
Description: long non-coding RNA (TPRA_LNC004053)
Source: RNAcentral